UACGUAGGGUGCAAGCGUUAAUCGGAAUUACUGGGCGUAAAGCGUGCGCAGGCGGUUUUGUAAGUCUGACGUGAAAUCCCCGGGCUCAACCUGGGAAUUGCGUUGGAGACUGCAAGGCUAGAAUCUGGCAGAGGGGGGUGAGAAUUCCACGUGUAGCAGUGAAAUGACGUAGAGAUGUGGAGGAACACCGAUGGCGAAGGCAGCCCCCUGGGUCAAGAUUGACGCUCAUGCACGAAAGCGUGGGGAGCAAACAGG
RNAcentral lists this ribosomal RNA (255 nucleotides) under uncultured bacterium. Its description in RNAcentral is "partial 16S ribosomal RNA". It matches the Rfam family "Bacterial small subunit ribosomal RNA", at positions 524 to 776 of the family's 1533-position model. The record is from RNAcentral.